AACGAACGCUGGCGGCAUGCCUAACACAUGCAAGUCGAACGAAGCCUUCGGGCUUAGUGGCGCACGGGUGCGUAACACGUGGGAAUCUGCCCUUUGGUUCGGAAUAACAGUUAGAAAUGACUGCUAAUACCGGAUAAUGACGUAAGUCCAAAGAUUUAUCGCCGAAGGAUGAGCCCGCGUAGGAUUAGGUAGUUGGUGGGGUAAUGGCCCACCAAGCCGACGAUCCUUAGCUGGUCUGAGAGGAUGAUCAGCCACACUGGGACUGAGACACGGCCCAGACUCCUACGGGAGGCAGCAGUGGGGAAUAUUGGACAAUGGGCGAAAGCCUGAUCCAGCAAUGCCGCGUGAGUGAUGAAGGCCUUAGGGUUGUAAAGCUCUUUUACCAGGGAUGAUAAUGACAGUACCUGGAGAAUAAGCUCCGGCUAACUCCGUGCCAGCAGCCGCGGUAAUGUACAGUGU
Molecule: ribosomal RNA, 459 nt
Filed under: uncultured bacterium
Lineage: Bacteria
Description: bacterial SSU rRNA
Rfam family: Bacterial small subunit ribosomal RNA
Source: RNAcentral